UACGACAUACUGGUUUACGUUAGAGGGACUACUUUCUUUACUUUCGUUUUAAUAUAUUUAUAGUUUGACCUUUAUUGAACUCCAGGGCUUGGUAUGCUUGCAAAUGCAAGAUUUGAUUGGUCAGUUGUUUUAACCGCUUUCCUUUAAUUUUCGUUCGUCACAAGGUUGACACAACUUUUUCACCUGUCAAACAAUAUAGACAUAUAUAUUUUACUAUAAAUAAUAAAGGAUCAGGGUUCUAAGGAAUAUAGGAUUUUGAUACCGUUUAAACAUAAACCCCACACGAGUGCUUGAGAUCGAGUGUUAGAGACAUAUAGUGGAGCUCAGUACCACAUACUGGGCUCACGCUCAUAUAUUUCUAUGAAGAAAUAAUAAACAAUAAAACGAACCUAUUACCUGCUUAUCAAGUGAUCAUUUAACCCCAACGAUAAGCGCCCG
Molecule: long non-coding RNA, 438 nt
Organism: Mya arenaria
Lineage: Eukaryota; Metazoa; Mollusca; Bivalvia; Myida; Myidae
Exons: 3
Source: RefSeq, a predicted model, not a curated record